This 338-nucleotide long non-coding RNA is filed under the name Homo sapiens (human). Its description in RNAcentral is "long non-coding RNA NONHSAT005698". The record is from RNAcentral. Lineage: Eukaryota; Metazoa; Chordata; Mammalia; Primates; Hominidae.
ACAGUAAUUCACCUAGCAUUAACCCUAGUAAUCAACACCCUAUUAGCCCUGUUACUAAUAAUUAUUACAUUUUGGCCCACAACUUAAUAUAUAUAGAAAAAUCUAGCCCUUAUGAAUGCAGAUUUGACCCUCUAUCCUCUGCCCACAUUCCCUUCUCCAUAAAAUUCUUUCUAGUAGCCAUCACAUUUCCCCUAUUUGAGUUAGAACUCGCCCUACUACUACCCUUACUGUGAGCCCUUCAAACAAUCUGAUACUAAUAAUCCCUGCGAUAUGUGUUGUGACUUCAUACUUCACCCCCCCCCCGGAUAUUACGGCCAAUAUCAGAGUGGAGUGUGCAC